AUUGCAGUAGGACAGACUGUGAAAAACAGGAAAGCUUAGAAACCGCAAUAAGGCAGACUGUGAAAAAUAGGAAAGCUUGCUAAGCUAUAUUCCUUUUAUGGAGAGUGUAUUCCAAAUAUGGCAAUAAUGCUGAUAAGACAGUAUGUAUCAUGUAAUUGUGGUUUUAUGCUAUAUAAGCUGUGCAAGAUUCUGUAAUCAGGGGGAUUGCUAGUUUACUGGUACCCCCCAUGCAUGCAUGAAAAUAAAAAGGCCUCAGGCGAUUCUGAUUCAAACACAACGCGUGGUCAUUUUUCCACAACAAUCUUGGUGCCGUGACUCGGAUCCACAGACUGUCCACCGGACCAGGAGACCGCGGACCAUUCCCCUCCGAACCCAGCCGGCACUUGAUAGGUGAGAGACCUUUUAAAUCUCUAUUUGGGUUAUCGGUGGAGGACUGUCCGUAGGCCCUGGGUCGGGUGAGUAGCAAGCUGGAUACGGACCUUUUGCUGCCAGACUCGCCUGACAACCUUUUGGUUUCCCGGGAGGAGCCACGGGUAAGUGGCGGGGAGUCGGGGUUCCCACAAGGAUAGGCCUUGGUUUUAGGCCUUACCUCAGCGUUUGUGUGCAAGUGUGAAUGACUGAAAACGAAUGAGGGUCGUAGGAAGACGCCCAGAGCUUUCUGCGAGGCCUUGAGGCUUACGACCAGGAAUGUCUCUAAAGCAAGCCCUAUGACCCGUGUGAGUGGCCUGAUAUUGUUCAGGGAAAAAGGGAUUAUAGGUUUAGGAAGACGCUAUCGGAAACCUAGGGAUUGAGAGAUUGGAUCUCACAGUCGGUAACCUCGGGAUAGCUGACCAAAACCCUACAAUCAGGUAGACUCCAGGAAUGUAAAUGUAAUUGGUAUACCAGAGAUGAUAAAAAUUUGUAAUUUCCAUUAGAAGAAAGCUUUGACCUUGACAGGAUUGUGCACCUCAGAGGCGCACUUCUUGCCAACAAAGUCGGACAAGAUCAGUUUGAUGUAUAUUUUUAUUGGUGUAAGGAAACAGUAAAACGGCACCAUAAAUCUCAAGUAGGGAGUCCCAAGGACUCCCAAGAAAAGCUUAAAAAAAAAAAGAUAAAAAGGAAAUUGACUCUUUUCCGUAACCCCGCUGGCCAGCAGAUAUCGCUCUAUUCAUCUAGACCCCUUCAGGAGGCAAAGCCCCUUUGGAGUAUCCCCUCCACACCUCCUGACGAUCUUAUAGACCUGUUAUUGUCAAUUUUUCUUUUAGUCCUUGUUUAUCGGUUAACCUUUUGGGAAAAGACUUGCUGUGUAAAUUAAAUUGUAUAAUCUGCUGUACCCCAGAUGGUGUGUAUCUGGACGUGCCUGGUCCCGCUCACAAUGAAGUCCUGGCAGUUUAUGGGAGAAAACUGACCCCAGCCCUUCCUCGUUGCAACAGGAACUGCUGGUUAAGGUCUCUCCCUCCCUGUGGGCUUUGUGAGCCGAUCAUGCCAACCAGGUUGGGUGCAUUGGGUCUGCCCAAGCCGUUAAGAUUGGCCUAAACCCAACAAGAACCCUUCCCAAGGUGCAGCAGUACCCUAUAUCAAAACAGGCCAAGGAAGAAUCCAAUCUGUUGUUACCUCCUUGAUUUAACAAAAAGUCAUUAUUCCUAUGGUCAGUAAGUGUAACUCCCCCGUUUUAUCAUGCUGUUCAUGCUAUUGUUCUUUUUUCCUCUCCCUUGUCCCUAGCCCUGUUAUUAUUCUUUUUUAUAAUGCACCAGUGCUGAGGGGUUAUUAUCGCCUCAAGAAAAGAUUGUAUUAAGUCCAGACAUAAAGAAUUAAAGUUGUUAUUAAGUAAGAUGCAUCUAGAUGUAAUGUGUGUAUAUAAAU
Molecule: long non-coding RNA, 1842 nt
Organism: Trachemys scripta elegans
Lineage: Eukaryota; Metazoa; Chordata; Testudines; Emydidae
Exons: 2
Source: RefSeq, a predicted model, not a curated record